AAGCAGCAGAGCUGGGAACAGCACACAGAUGUCCUGAGUCAACCCAAGGAACUCCAGACAAACACAGCAAGACAACCACCAGCACAGUGACACAGUCCAGUCUGUGAGAGGUCCUGCAGAUGCCUCUGACAUUCCUGCUGGCCGAGAUGGGCAGCUCUGCUGGGAGACCCCUCCCUCCUAUUGCUGGUCAGGACAGGGACAUAAUUGAAGGCCCUAGAAGACUGACUGAGUGGAGAGCAAAGGCAGGACUGACUGACAGGACUUCUCCUGGUGAUGCAAUUGAGGGUGAAUGUGGAUGAACAUGACAUACCCCUUGCAGAUGGAGUGAAUGUGUUCUCCUUGCUUCUCUGCCUGCCCUUCAAUACCAAAUGGGCAUAUGUGAAGUUGAAAUUCACGCUGCAGCAUCCAGACGGUGCCUCAAGCUGGCUGCACAUUCCCAGAAAGGAAGAAACCACCACCCCCACCCCCCCCAGCCUACCUGCAGAAUGACCUUUCUGCUGAUGCUGACUUGCAGCUCAGGAGCUUUUGUGCUGUGAGAGGCAGGGAGAUGAAAUGUUUUCCUGUUCAGUGUAUACAGAAGAGUUUGGAGUUGAGCUGUUCUCUCCCCAACUGUAAAACUACAGUGAAAUCCAGAGUCUUUCUUUGUGUUCCAUUGCCUGCUUUGAGGAAAACAGUGGUCAUGAGAUCAGCCUCAGGGAACAGGGAGUUCAACUGUGCAACACAUGAGGCCAGGAGUGAAAGAGGGAGCAUGGAAAGUCAAAUGGAGCAUUGGCCUGCUGCCCCUCAGGUAACCUCGCAAGCCUGAAACAAGACAGCAAAUCUUGGAGUGCAAGGCAUGAAGACAGGAUUGCAGCCUUCUUCAUGGCACAUGAGCAGCCACCUACCAUGUCUGUAGUCAGUUGGUUCCUUGUGCCACGUAGUCCAGGAUCUGAGAGCACAAGGACAGAAGAUCAAAAGAGCCUCUUGCUUGCAUUUCACGUGUCCUGUCACUGAGAAUAUUGAUUACUAAUUACUGAACUAACCUGAAUAAGCACUCAAAGUCUGGCUGUUAACACUUAUUACUGAUAAACAGCUUGAGCUCUAUUGGUUCUGCGUAUGUGCUCACACCCAUGCAUAUCUCCUAAGUUGCGUGGCAGGCAAGAUAGUUCAGAUACUAUAACCACAGGAGGUUCCAGGUCCUGGCCCUGUCUUGCAUCUGGACCACAUGUGCCAACAGCCAAGAUCAAAACAGCAAUAAUCUGGCAUCCACAUCCAGGAUGAGCAGAGGAGAUGCCUGCACCCAUCCUUUCCUUCCAUGCAAAGGCUGGAGUACUUCCUGAGCUUGGGACCAAAUCACCCCCUUUCUGGACACUGUGGUCGGUGUCAGCUUCUCUUUGGACCUGUUCUUGCUCACACACUGCACAAAGGGCUUUAAAUGGGAUCAGAGGGAGAUACUUCUCUUCCCACUCUAUAUUCACAUGGCAAGAUGCUCUCUGUCACCCCUGACCUCUCCCUCACUGGCUGUGUGGAUCUAAGAGCUACAGCAUUCAAUCACCUUCUGGACAAUUGAACAGGAGCUAUUCCAACAACGUCGCUUCCCCUCUCCCCUGCCUGGGAGCAGGAAUUAUCUCAAGUAGGUUGUAGUGGUGUGUGUAAUGAUGACUGUGUCAGUGAACAUAGUUCCUGUUGCCUGGAUGCAGGUGACAAAAAGGAUGGCUAUAGGAAGAGGAUAUUUUACAGCUGCAGAUGUGACAGAUGAGUGUCCCAGCUUUCAAACCUUUCUUUUUAGAGUUCUGUGUUUCAGCUAAAGGUGACUGCCUUUCUGCUGACAGAUCUCUUCCUGCAGCUCGAGUGAGUGUUCAUGCUUCUGUUCUGUGCAGCAUAAAGACAGACAGGUUUGUGUGAAAGACCUGCUGACACACUCUUGUUCUGAAUGUGAUGUAGGGAAUCUGACCGGCCGCAGGAGUUGGCUUCACAGUAUGAGCCCUGCAGUCACAACAGCUGCCUCAUGACACUCCCAGCCUCAGUGGGCACUUCUGUCCCUCCAGUCAGCUGUAGCUGGCAUGAAGGGAUGGAACUGGUGAGGUUUUGGGGAUGAAGCCUUGCUUCAUGUGUAAACCUCAGGACUGUGUUGAUUUUCAGGUCAGAGAUCACAACUGGUUGUGCACUGGACAGAAGAGGCUUCUGGACCUCAUAGCAGCUGGUUGAGGAGGCUCUCUUCUCAGGCAAGUGCUGUAACAAACAGCUGGUGUCUGAGCUGUGGGCUGGUUUGUGUCCUCCUAGGACAGGAAGCAGGCUGCAGCCACCAUUUUAGUGGCUAUCGGACACCAAAGACCUGGGCCAAAUGCUCUUCCCCACUUCUGAGUCUCAUCGGAGAAUGACUUCAGCCUUGAGGGCUCCUGGGCAAGGGAAUAAGGGUUGUCAGAGCCUUCCUCAUCAAGCUGCAGCCUUCGAUGACUUGAUGUGUGCAGGAUGCCUUUGCCUUGGGUCUCUGUUGUGCCAUCUGGCAGCACAAGACUGCCCUAAAGAACGCAGAGGGAAUCCCUCUCAAAGUGGCCUUG
Melopsittacus undulatus (budgerigar) is the source of this 2540-nucleotide long non-coding RNA. RefSeq lists it as uncharacterized. The record is from RefSeq and is a predicted model, not a curated record. The transcript has 6 exons. Lineage: Eukaryota; Metazoa; Chordata; Aves; Psittaciformes; Psittaculidae.